This 496-nucleotide ribosomal RNA is filed under the name uncultured bacterium. RNAcentral's name for it is "bacterial SSU rRNA". It matches the Rfam family "Bacterial small subunit ribosomal RNA", at positions 28 to 524 of the family's 1533-position model. The record is from RNAcentral.
GAUGAACGCUAGCGGCAGGCUUAACACAUGCAAGUCGAGGGGUAUAGUAGCAAUACUAGAGACCGGCGCACGGGUGCGUAACGCGUAUGCAACCUACCUUUUACAGAGGGAUAGCCCAGAGAAAUUUGGAUUAAUACCUCAUAGUGUUAUUAGAUGGCAUCAUUUGAUAACUAAAGUUCCAACGGUAAAAGAUGGGCAUGCGUCCUAUUAGCUAGAUGGUAAGGUAACGGCUUACCAUGGCUACGAUAGGUAGGGGUCCUGAGAGGAGAUCCCCCACACUGGUACUGAGACACGGACCAGACUCCUACGGGAGGCAGCAGUGAGGAAUAUUGGACAAUGGGCGCAAGCCUGAUCCAGCCAUGCCGCGUGCAGGGAAGAAGCAUCUAUGGUGUGUAAAACUGCUUUUGUACGGGAAGAAACACUCCUACGUGUAGGAGCUUUGACGGUACCGUAAGAAUAAGGAUCGGCUAAACUCCGUGCCAGCAGCCGCGGUAAU